This 230-nucleotide long non-coding RNA is filed under the name Elaeis guineensis (African oil palm). RNAcentral describes it as "long non-coding RNA (EGUI_LNC012322)". The record is from RNAcentral. Lineage: Eukaryota; Viridiplantae; Streptophyta; Magnoliopsida; Arecales; Arecaceae.
UCUUUUCAAUGGGUUGGAACAAUUUUACUUUAACUCAUUAAGAAUUAUCAAUCUUGAGCAAUCCUAGUGAGCUCUCACAAUCCACCAGUGACACCUAGCAGUAUGUAGUGGCAACCCAAUAGAACUGAAAAAGAACCUCAAGAUGUAGUUCGCAUGUAAUUCAAUCCCUCUAUCAUGAGUCCCGACUAGAUGGUAGAUCAUUGAUAAAUCGUCAAACCUCAUCAUCAGUC